UGCUUCCUGAACCUUAGAGACACAGACGCGUGAGGUGUCAGCACAGGGAGCUUGCUGAGAGUCCAGAGCCCCGGGGAUAGCCACCAGGUGAGCCCCAGGGAUACCCACCAGCAGGUGUGGGUGAGCCAGCGCCCGGACACUCCUACCUGAAGAAGUAGGCUGCAAGGAACAGGAACAGCAGCAAGGGGAGCAGCAGCCAGGCCAGCAGGGGCUGGGGCGCGCCGGGGGCCGGAGGGCCGGGGGCCGGAGCGCCUAGGGGCAGAAGCAGGUCCCCGUCAGGACCCGAGGCACAAGGGGAAGCGGGCUCUGGGCAAGGAAAGGUUCCCAACAGCAGACCUCGCAGUUUGCAAAGUGGCCCUCCCACCAGCCCCCCUUCCCUGAUGCCAGACCCCACUUCAGAGGUCACCAAUUCGUCCCCCCCAUCCCAGCGGCCCAGGACACCAGAACCCUCCUUUACAGUUUACAAACUCCCUUCGUCAACAGUCCUUCUUCCUGGACACCAAAACCUCACUUCACAGUUUGCAAAGUAGUCACUCCCUCUCAACCCUUCUUCCCUGACACGAGAACCCCACUUUACAGUUUGCAAACUCCCUCCUUCAUCUGCCCUUCUUCCCGGACCCCACUUUACAGUUUGCAACUCAGUCCACCAUCCUGGUCCAUUGGGUCCACAAAGGCCCCUCUACUUAGAUGAGCAGCGUUGACACCAAGAAGAAGCUGAGCUGAGGAUGUGAUGACCUGACGUGUCCAAGGCCCCCUGCUGCUGGGUAGUGAAGGCCCAGACCCCCGUGUGACCUGUUUCCCCAGGUCCCAGGGCACCUGUCCCUCCCGCUAACGGGAGGUGGAGGAGGGUGGGAGUGUAGAUGCCCUGCUGCUCUGUCCCAGGACAGUGGCCCGUGGUCGCAUGGUGACCCGGCCUCCCGGAGCCGUGAGCUGCCGACCUCACCCGCCCAGAGGAAAGCUGCUGACCAGGCACCACCCGCGCUCCCCUUUCAUCUGUCUUUCCUGGACCAGAAGGUGCCACGUCCCUGGACCCAACGUGGCUGCCCAGGGCCUGGCCCGCAAGCCUGAACUCCAGGGGGCUCUGGUGGCCCGGCCGCCACCCUCAGAGCCCACCCCUCCCCCAGUGUUCUGACUCAGCUCCUGUCCCCUCAGACUGCCCUGCGGCGCCCUCCUCUCCAAAGCGUCCUCGCCCGCCAAGGAGCACCUCAAAGGCCCCUCGUCCACGAAGCCCACGCAGCUCCCCUGAGGAGAUCCCAGAGGGGCUCUGUGUGCCGUGAGCACACAGCCUAUUCUCCAGGGGGAACAGGCCCGGGGGGCCCGCCUUCACCCCCGUUUCAGUGGAAGCCCCUAGAAGGCAUGACUGGACCGUCAUCACUCUGAGUCACAGAAGCACCAACAGGGCCCCGCAGCCCCCCAUCUCGCACCCCUCCCCACGUAUCCCAAAGUUGUAACGGGUAUCUCACCCCUGGGCCGGGAGCUCUGCCGCCGGGGCCCUGCGCUGACGCCAGCACCCUGUGGGUGGUCAGUGCUAUAUUCCUAAUAAACGAAGGACUCUUACAGACCUGAGUGACUGCUAGACGUGGAAGUAUUAAAACCUGAGGACAGCGGUGAGGAGGUGACCUCAGCCACCGUAAACCUGGCCAACCUACGACACGCCCCCGCUCCAGGCUGCCCCACGCCUCUGCCACCCGAGCUAGUGAUGUUCAGGGACCACCGCAGCUGUGCUGGGAGGCUGGGGAUGCCAGGCUGAGAUCUCUGCUCAGUCCCUCCCUGAGAGCCCCUCCGCUACAGAGGCUCCUCCCUGACCCUAGGAGCCGACCUGCCUGUGGCCUCCCUGCCUGCAGCUCCUUGGAGCACGCCCGAACCCUGCCAGGGCCUUGGAGCAACUCAAGCCCAGACUGAUGGGGGAGACGCCUGCUACCAACGGGCAGAGCUGGGCCCAGCCCCAGAGAGGCCACUCAGCUCCAUCCCUGCCCAUCCAGAUGCAGCCGCAGAGCCUGGCAGGUGCCCUUCUGCUCUCCCGGGGCGUCCCUUCUGUCGAACUCCCCACUUCUGCAUUUGCUCAGCUUAACCUUGGCAGUGACUGACGGGCCAGCUCGUAGGUCCGAGGGCUGGAUGGGCCUAGCUGAGCGUGCAGGCCUGCCGGGAGCUUCAGGUGGGCACCGGGAUCACAGACAGCCCACCCCUGGGGCCGUCAGGGGCUCCAGGGUCCAGCCUCCGCUUUCAUGCUGCCCGGAGUCAAGGCUGCAGUUACAGACGUGGGCAAUUCCAUGGCACACCCUCAAGGACCAAGGCGGAAUGACCCAAGGCCCCCAGAAAGGGGCCGUGUACCCGGACAGAAGCGAUGGGCCACAGGGACAAAUGGGUUCCCCUGCUCGGGGUCUCUGUCAGUUGUCAGCAGCCGCCUCUGUUAUGGAAGAUGGAGGUCAGGCGGGAACAGUCAAGGACCAGCAGGCCCCGUGAGGCUCCGGGAACUGGCGGGGUGUCCAUGCCCUGUCCGCGGGGCUGGCCGCGUCUUAGCCCCAGCUCACGGGGGCCAAGGAGAGGUGCACGUGGCGUGCUCAGUUCUUCCAAUUUACCGAAGGAAGAAAUCUAUAUUUUUACGUAAAAAUUAUCUGAUUUUUAAAUAUUGGUAAGCAAUUCAACCCAAAUACAAUUUUGAAAACGAAUGUGGGUCAGAAAAACCCUCCGCAGGCUGGGCUGUGUUCCCGGGCACCAAUGGGCUCCCGACGGGAAGUCAGGGUGAUGACUAAGAAGUAAUUCAAGUCUCUUUCUGUUUUCAUUUCACGGUGAUGUGACUCAGACUGGGUGGGGCUGAGGGUCACGGCUGGGGAGCAGAGCGGGGCUCUCCUGGAGGUAAGUACCCCGGUGGUCCACUCAGAGCAGCCUUCUCCCCAAAUCUCCUCCAAUUCUAUGCAGCCAAUGCUCCAGGUCAGGUGCGCAUGGAUGUUCAUGCAAAUUUAUGCCCAUGCACGCCUGAGAAGUGUGCACACGUGUGUGUCGGCUUACAUGGAAUCUGGUCCUGGAAUUUGAAAGUCAGGGGCUGCCGUGUGAGUCCUGACCUCAGUCAUGCACCUGCACGCUUAAACUUGUGCGGCUCGCCCGCCGUGCUGGACGGCCCUGUGAGGUCUGUGAUGAGCAAGUUGUGAGCCUUCAUGUGUCAACUCGACUGGCCACAGAGGGCCCAGAUAUUGGGUCAACGUAUCUGAAUAAGCUGGGUGUUUCUAUAGGGAGGCCAUGUGGAUGAGAUCCGGCAUCUGAGCUGGUAUUCUGAGAAAAGCAGAUUGCCCUCUGCACUGGGGCUUGGGCCACAUCCAAUCAGUUGAAGGUCCGAAUAGAACAAAAAGCCGGAGCCUCCCAUGAGUAAGAGGGAAUUCUUCCUGCCUGCCUGCCUUCCAACUGGGGCGUCGCUCCUUCUGUUUCUACGGCAGCCUGCCCGUCUUCAGGCGGAGACUGAAGACUGGCAGUUUCCACAGGAAGACUGGCACCCUGGCUCUGCAGUCGUGGGAGCCAAUCCCUCAUAGUAAAUAUACAUAUACUUAUA
This is a long non-coding RNA of Orcinus orca (killer whale), 3544 nucleotides long. RefSeq lists it as uncharacterized. The transcript is spliced from 3 exons. The record is from RefSeq and is a predicted model, not a curated record. Lineage: Eukaryota; Metazoa; Chordata; Mammalia; Artiodactyla; Delphinidae.